This is a long non-coding RNA of Acyrthosiphon pisum (pea aphid), 685 nucleotides long. RefSeq lists it as uncharacterized. The transcript has 2 exons. Lineage: Eukaryota; Metazoa; Arthropoda; Insecta; Hemiptera; Aphididae. The record is from RefSeq and is a predicted model, not a curated record.
UUUUUAUGUUUAUUAAUAUGCUAAUAAUAAUACACAUUUUAUUAAUUUUUUUAAAAUAUAAUGUAUAUGUUACCGGAAAUGUUGCCAAUUUAGGAAAUUACGACAAUUCCUAGUAAAUGUUGACAAUUCCUAAAAGCGGAAGGCAAUGUUAUCACCGUCUAGGAAUUGUCAUCAUUUCCGUAGUUUAUUAGGCAAUGUUAUCACUAGGGCCCGGAAUUUGAUGAUCUAAAAAUAUAUCAAAAAAAAUGCAUAAAAUGAUAUUUAUUAAUUUAUUUUUUUUUUUAAAUAAUAUUAAAAAUGUAUAUUUUACUGUAAAAAUUGAUAAAUAUUGUUUCGAUACAAAUUAUAAUUAUUAUAAAUUAAUUAAAUAAAACUAUAUAUUAUAGUCAUUUACACUCUAUAUAGAAGACACUAUCGAACUAAUAAUGCUGUCGAACUCAAAUUAAAUGAGAAACGGAGACACACGGGUAUAUAAAAUAAACUUAUAAAAUUAUUUUAUAUAUCUGUGUGGAGACAUGAAAUUAUAUCAAACACGGGUUUAUGUCGAUUGCGAUAACCGAUUUUAAACAAGCAUGUGUGUCCCUGGCAUAAAAUAGUCAAGCAGAAAAUCCGUUAUCACUUCGGGAGGCAGCUACUGUAAAUAGUAUUUCAGGGGCACAAGGAUAUACCCGAUGUCAAUGUAAGA